This is a long non-coding RNA of Strigops habroptila (Kakapo), 515 nucleotides long. RefSeq lists it as uncharacterized. NCBI's taxonomy places the organism in Eukaryota, Metazoa, Chordata, Aves, Psittaciformes, Psittacidae. The transcript has 3 exons. The record is from RefSeq and is a predicted model, not a curated record.
CCAUUUUUAGAAAGAGUUGGGUUUUCUUUUAGCAGUUCGUAUAAUGGUCUUCCCAGUAUACCAUAAUCAUGGAUCCAGAGUUGGCACCAUCCAGUCAUACCCAACAAUGUUCGAAGGUCCUUGGUUGUGGACGGCCUUGGUGUUUGGCAAAUGGCUUCUUUUCAGGCUGUUCCAAGUUCUCGAAAUCCUCCUGUUAUUUCAUAUCCUAGAUAAGAGACUCGAGUUUGAAUUAAUUGUGCCUUCUGUUUGGACACUCGGUAUCCGCUUAGUCCCAGAAAAUUCAACAAUUCAACAGUCCACUGUACGCAUUCUUACUUAGUUUCAGUAGCAAUUAACAAAUCAUCAACAUAUUGUAGCAAAGUUCCUGUCUAAGUGGGUGCAUUCCAUGAUUUUAGUUCUCGUGCUAAUUGGUUUCCAAAAAUCAUUGGACUGUUUUUAAAUCCUUGAGGUAACACUGUCCAAGUUAACUGAGUUUUUCUUCCCGUAUUGGGGUUUUCCCAUUCAAAAGCAAACAA